RNAcentral lists this long non-coding RNA (2030 nucleotides) under Citrus maxima (pomelo). Its description in RNAcentral is "long non-coding RNA (CMAX_LNC002773)". Lineage: Eukaryota; Viridiplantae; Streptophyta; Magnoliopsida; Sapindales; Rutaceae. The record is from RNAcentral.
GGUAAUAGGAGGUUCCUAACAAAUCAAAAAUCCUUACACAAAUUCUUAAACUGAAAUACCUCAAAUUUUAUUAAAUAGAUCAACAAUUCCACAAAUAAGAUACUUGACAUUUUCUCCCAAUUCAUCAAAAUAACAAACAUCUCAAAACUCUCCAAAUACAAAUUCAAAAUACCAACAAACUUAAAGGCUCAAGAAUUUCAUCAUUCUUUCAUUCAACUUAGCAAGUAAAUAAAUCUUUAGCUCCAAAGAUAACCACACUUCUGAAUAAGUCACUUAAUCUGCAAAAAGUAAUGACGAGGGGUGAGCUGUCAACUCAGUAAGUAAAACCAUUCCUAAUUCACUAGGCCUAUCGAUACCAAAAAUAUUGCAAGCCUUUUUUUAUUAUUUAAAACAUAUAUCAUAAUUCAUAAAUUUCAUAAAUGACAUAUCACGAUAAAAUAACAUAAAUUCAUAAUAAUUCAGAAUUUCAAAAGCAUAGUCACUUUCGAAUGCAAAUCAUAUAACACAUUCACAGGAAACAAAAGUGAGCUCAUGUCACAUAUUGUCACCUAUACCCUCGGUGACCCGGCCAGAAUCAGAAUAUCGUGUGUACACUCAGAACAGAAACCCAAUACCGAUGCAGAACAUAAACGUAUCUAUAUCGUAUAAUACGAUCAAAAUCAGAAUCGGAAUGACUACGGACAAUGAGCCAAAACAUUUAAAUUCGUUUAUCACUUAUAGCAAAUUACACGUGGCACUUUGCACUAUACGUGGCAAUUCGUGGCAUUUUAGCCCUCGAGAGGUGCCCCUCAUACAGUCUCAAGAGGUGGCCCCCGCAUAAUAACUCAUAGAUAAUCUUAAUCAAAUAUGUGAAUAAAACAUUUAUAUUGGAUUCAUAAAAGAUCAUAACAAAGAUUUAGGCUUGCAGAACAAUUUCCAUUCUAACAUUUUAUAGACAAUUUCAAAGAUAUAAUUAUUUAGCAAGAAUAAAUUACACAUUUAAAAGCAUUUAUAAUAUUUGUUAAAACCAUAAAAAUAAUAUAAUUUUUCAGAUUUGAAAACAUUUACAUAAAUUAAUUUGGUUACAAAGAACUAAGAAAAAUAUGUACUUGUAAUAAUAUUAAAAUAUCAAAAUUAUUAUACAUAUUUAGUACACUAGGAAUAGAGUUACUUACCUCGAUAAGGUAAUAAUUGAAACACACCUCUAAGCUUUUAACAACCUUAAAUAUCUCCAACACCUUAAAAAGAUGCAAGACAUAAUUAAUAACAACUUAUUCCGAGAACUGAUUUUCUAAUUCAUGCUGGUACAAGUCUGAUUCUCUAGAUUUUAACUCUUAAUCUAAUAAUCAAAACGAUACGAUAUCAUGCAGAUCUGUUCUAGACAUCCAUAGGUAUCUCCUAUAAAAUUUUCAGGAGGAUCCGAUACCAAAAACAUUUUCAAAACUAUUUGUUUCUUGAUAGACGCCAAACUGUCUCACAGUGCUUUAACAGAACAAUAUUGGUUCCGAGAUUUUUAUAAAAUUAUGUACAAUCAGAAAAUUAUGAAAUUAAAACUGGAAAUACUAGACAGACAUAUUAACCUCUAUUUAAAAAUUCAUAAGUUUUCGAGUUCAUUUUAUGGUAUAAAUAAUUUUGUGAAUUUGGUCAUUCUGCUGGAACAACAGUUUUCCAGUGCAACAGUGUCAGAUUCAAAAAUCUAUAUAAAAUCGAAAAUGAAGUCAAAUCUUAUGAACUGAAAUUUAUUCAAUAAGCCCUAGAUGUCUAGUUUACAAAACGAUAAGGUUAUCUUCAAAAAUCAUUUUCGAUGGCCAUGAUUUAAUACAAAAUAUAUAUGUUGUCAAGAGAAUUCUAUAACAUGUUUCAUACAACUAGAUUUUUAAGUUAAGCAUGUAUUCAAAAUAAUAAAAACAUAAGCAAUUAAAGACUCACCAAAUCAAGAAGCUUACAAAUUAACUAAGAUCUCUGACUCUACUGAAGAUUUGGAGAAGGUUACUAUGAGAGAUCUAGAAUUUAGAAUUUUGGAGUUGAGAGAGAAGGAAGAUGAAUAAUGA